AUUGAACGCUGGCGGCAUGCUUUACACAUGCAAGUCGAACGGUAACAGGCCUUCGGGUGCUGACGAGUGGCGAACGGGUGAGUAAUGCAUCGGAACGUACCCAGAGGUGGGGGAUAACGCAGCGAAAGCUGUGCUAAUACCGCAUGUGAUCUGAGGAUGAAAGCGGGGGACCGAGCAGCAAUGUUUGGCCUCGCGCCUUUGGAGCGGCCGAUGUCGGAUUAGCUAGUUGGUGGGGUAAAGGCCUACCAAGGCGACGAUCCGUAGCUGGUCUGAGAGGACGACAAGCCACACUAGGACUGAGACACGGCCCAGACUCCUACGGGAGGCAGCAGUGGGGAAUUUUGGACAAUGGGCGCAAGCCUGAUCCAGCAAUGCCGCGUGAGGGAAGAAGGCCUUCGGGUUGUAAACCGCUUUUGGCAGGAACGAAACGGUGUCCGCUAAUACCGGGCGCUAAUGACGGUACCUGCAGAAUAAGCACCGGCUAACUACGUG
RNAcentral lists this ribosomal RNA (492 nucleotides) under uncultured bacterium. RNAcentral describes it as "partial 16S ribosomal RNA". It matches the Rfam family "Bacterial small subunit ribosomal RNA", at positions 29 to 507 of the family's 1533-position model. The record is from RNAcentral.